UUGUUUCGUUAGUUAUUGCCUGCGAAUAAGAUCAAAAAGCGAUUGAUCAAAAAAAAAAAAAAAUCAGAAAGCGCUUGACCAAGAAAAAAAGAAAGAUCAAAAGCGCUAACCCUAAUUGUCUCUUUUGUUCAUUUGAGUCUGUGUUCCGCAAGAAUGACAAUCGAUAGUUCUCAAUCUCUUUGUAACGGAACUCUAAUGAAUGACGAUCAAUAGUUCAUCUCUCUGUAAUGACUUUAAUGGCAUUAAUACAGACGCCCAGAACGAGCCCUUCAAUGCGUCGUUUCCAUUGGCGAAAUCUCCGCUAUAAAUAGGGUGUUUUUUUCUUAUUUGAAGACCUGGAAGUGUUCAUCGGUUGUGGAAGCUAGACUGCUGAGAUACUGGGAGGCUAGGAACGUUAAGCGUGGUGGAGAGCUUAUGUGGGAUCCAUAAGAUUAUAAAAAAGGGUUUGAAUUUCUCCCAGGCUAUCCAUGUAGGCGGACACGUCACUAAUUCGUGCUUUCUGGAAGCGACAUAUGUCCGCCUAAACGAAACGAUGCGUUUCAUUUAGUUACGUACGGGCUUUUUUUUAUUUCUUUUGGUCCAGAUGGGCUUUGUUUCGUUAGUUAUUGCCUGCGAAUAAGAUCAAAAAGCGAUUGAUCAAAAAAAAAAAAAAUCAGAAAGCGCUUCCCUAAUUGUCUCUUUUGUUCAUUUGAGUCUGUGUUCCGCAAGAAUGACAAUCGAUAGUUCUCAAUCUCUUUGUAACGGAACUCUAAUGAAUGACGAUCAAUAGUUCAUCUCUCUGUAAUGACUUUAAUGGCAUUAAUACAGACGUCCAGAACGAGCCCUUCAAUGCGUCGUUUCCAUUGGCGAAAUCUCCGCUAUAAAUAGGUUAGUAUUUCCCUUCUGGAGAUCUUGCUCUCUUCAUCUCUCUGCUACUUAUCUCUUUUAUUCUCGAUCUUCUACUCAUCUCUCUCAAUGACCAUCUCCAGGGUGUUUUUUUCUUAUUUGAAGACCUGGAAGUGUUCAUCGGUUGUGGAAGCUAGACUGCUGAGAUACUGGGAGGCUAGGAACGUUAAGCGUGGUGGAGAGCUUAUGUGGGAUCCAUAAGAUUAUAAAAAAGGGUUUGAAUUCCUCCCAGGCUAUCCAUGUAGGCGGACACGUCACUAAUUCGUGCUUUCUGGAAGCGACAUAUGUCCGCCUAAACGAAACGAUGCGUUUCAUUUAGUUACGUACGGGCUUUUUUUUAUUUCUUUUGGUCCAGAUGGGCUUUGUUUCGUUAGUUAUUGCCUGCGAAUAAGAUCAAAAAGCGAUUGAUCAAAAAAAAAAAAAAUCAGAAAGCGCUUGACCAAGAAAAAAAGAAAGAUCAAAAGCGCUAACCCUAAUUGUCUCUUUUGUUCAUUUGAGUCUGUGUUCCGCAAGAAUGACAAUCGAUAGUUCUCAAUCUCUUUGUAACGGAACUCUAAUGAAUGACGAUCAAUAGUUCAUCUCUCUGUAAUGACUUUAAUGGCAUUAAUACAGACGCCCAGAACGAGCCCUUCAAUGCGUCGUUUCCAUCGGCGAAAUCUCCGCUAUAAAUAGGUUAGUAUUCCCCUUCUGGAGAUCUUGCUCUCUUCAUCUCUCUGCUACUUAUCUCUUUUAUUCUCGAUCUUCUACUCAUCUCUCUCAAUGACCAUCUCCAGGGUGUUUUUUUCUUAUUUGAAGACCUGGAAGUGUUCAUCGGUUGUGGAAGCUAGACUACUGAGAUACUGGGAGGCUAGGAACGUUAAGCGUGGUGGAGAGCUUAUGUGGGAUCCAUAAGAUGAGAGGAGAGAGUUGGUUUCAAAUAAUAACAGGGCCUAACAUGGGAGGGAAGUCCACUUUCAUUCGCCAGGUUGGUGUGACUGUACUGAUGGCUCAAGUUGGUUCCUUUGUUCCUUGUGAUGAAGCUUCAGUUUCCAUCAGAGACUGUAUCUUUGCCCGUGUAGGAGCAGGCGAUUGCCAAGUGAGUUUAGCUCUCUGCUUCUUUGUUUUUGAAACCGCUGGGUUGUGUAAAUCCUCUUUUAAGUUUUUUUUUGAACUUUCAUGUUUUUUUUUUUAACUUUCAUGUUUUUUAGCUGCCUGGAGUGUCUACUUUCAUGCAAGAAAUGCUUGAAACCGCUUCUUUUAUUUCGUUUUUGUGUUGAUUUGUUGUUAAUAUUAUCUUGGUGAAUGUAUCAGGUCUAGCAUGGGCUAUAUGUGAGCGUCUGGUUCAAGUGAAGAAAGCUCCUACUCUGUUUGCUACUCACUUCCAUGAACUUACUGCCUUGGCUCAAGCAAACUCUGAGGUUGCAGGUAACAUCGUUGGUGUUGCAAACUUCCAUGUCAGUGCACACAUUGACACAGAAAGCCGCAAACUCACCAUGCUUUACAAGGUUGAACCAGGAGCAUGUGACCAGAGCUUUGGGAUCCAUGUGGCUGAGUUUGCUAACUUCCCUGAAAGCGUAGUGGCUCUAGCAAGAGAGAAAGCUACAAAAGUGAAAAAAUGCUAGGAUAUGCGAGCAGUUUACUUGAUAGCAACAUCAAGGCCACUUCCUUCAAAAACAAACGUACUACCAACAAUCCAGUGACUGGAAUAGCUGGGAGUGUGUCCCCAAGAUUUCAUAUCCAACUUGAUUCAUCAGUCACCCCAUGGUUGGUUGUUGUUUUACGAGAAGAACAUUUGGGCAUAUAUAUUACUUAAAUAAAUGGAUGCAUCUGGUUUAGAGUUGGCAGCCUAUGAUUUCACUGAUUUUGCAAAUCCUGCAGUCAUGGAUAUUCUUCUCUUGCAUACAGUCAUCUGUCUACUCAAGGUUCAUGCUUCAGCAAGAACUUUAUUGCUCAUCUCAGUAGGGGGUUACCAACCUCCGUACUUCAAAAAAAAAUCCGCCUAGCCUCUUCCCUUAAAUUACCAAGCCAUACCACAACCAACUAGCUUCCUUACGGAACCAAUCGUUUUCAUAGCAGAAAAUUAAACAGAAACACCAUAGACCCGCACAAAUUUCUAAAUCAUAUUAUGUAUGAAGCUUCUUUGAUAUUGGCAUAGUCAAGAACUGGAAUUUGCAUAAAGUUGGCUAACCACCGUCAUUGUGUCACCAUUAUUGCCACUCUACAAGUAAUGCUUCGUCCAUACAUAGGGGCCAUAAAUAUUUCAGGCUUCCAAAGUUGCAGAAUUCUGAAUUCCUUGACGCUUAAACAUAUUAUCAAUUCUUUUGUUUGAGCUCGAAGGCGUAUAUUUUGUCCCACUAUAGUACACAUUUCUUUAUGGAAGCUGUCAUCAGGGUUUUGACAUGUUUUUUUUCUGAGAAAACAUAUAGCACAAAUAUUUACCAAUAUAAUUAAAAAUCAUGUUUUAUUUAAUUUGAUGAAAGUGAGAAAAACAAAAAAAAAAUUAACUUAAAACAAAAAAAAAUUUUUUAAAAUCAAUGUUUUAAGUACGAAUAUCAUAUUCAUAAAAUCAAUUAUGUAUAUAUUAUUAUUUUUAUUAUAAAUUUUAUAUAUAAGUAUACAAUUAUAUUUAGUUAAUUGGUUUCUUUGGUUUAUUCAGUUGGAUCGGUUUAUAUACCGAACCAUAUUCAUAUACUGCGGUUUCUUAAUAAUAACACUAAUUUGGUUUAUUCGGUACUACCAAAUCUAAACCAUUUUCUCUAUUUUGGUUCGGUUCAAUUUUUAUCGGUUCGGUUUUACCGGAUUGAACAUCCCUAGAAUUUACCCUACUGAUCACAUAUUUCCCUCUGCGCCGCCAGCGACCCUCCUAUAUAUAUCUCCUUCUGUGUCCAAAUAUUUUUGAAUCAUAAUUUUAUAUAUAAAGAUAUAAUAAUGAAUUUAAGGUAUAGAAUCCAAAAUAUCUAAAAUAAGAAAAAAUACUUGGAGCUGUCUAAAAUACCUGAAAGUAUUUUUUAGUCAAAAGUAAAUAUUUGAAAUAAGUAAAAAAAAAAGACUAAAAAAACCUAAAUUAUUUAAUGGUUUUCCACUGAAAUAUUCAAACUAAAAUAAUUUCCAUGAUAAUUUUAUUUAUUUAGUUAUACAUUAAUAUAAUAUAUAUAUGUGUAUUACUUUUAUUUUGGAAUUUGAAGAUCUUAAAAUAUAUUUCGAUUUCAAUAAAAUAAACAUAAUUUAAACGGUAGACAUAAACUAAACUUGAUAGGAUAUUUGAAUAGACAUAAACUGAACUCGAUCAGAGAUUUGAUGUCCACCCAUGCAUUAAAUUAAAUUAAAAAUAUAUCAGAACAAUAACUCAAAAAAAUUUAACUGUUCUUGAAAAUAAAUCAACAAAUAUUCUUAUAGUCCUUACCAUUAAGAUAUCUCUAACAAAAUUAUAAUUCUAAAAAACAAAUAAGAACUUGAUUAUAAAAAAUAUGAAAAAUAAUUAUUUACAAUAUAAUUUUUAAGAAUAAAAAACAAUUGUAAAAAAUUAUAAAAAUAAUUGCAAAAUAUAAAAACUAGUUUACAGAGUCAGCAUGAAUUUGUUUUAUUUGAUGACAAGAAAAAUAAUACAAAUAGAUAUGCAAUACUUAUUUUAAACACUAUAAAUAUUGAUCAUAAUUAUAUAAUAUUAUCUUCACAUCAAACUUUCUAAAAAACCAGCUAAAUUUAAUAAAACUAUUAAAAUCUUAAAAAUAAACUAACAUAUAUUCUCUACACACCAACAUUCUUAAAAACUUUAAAUAUUAUAAUAUAUUUCUCUUGCAAGAGCUCAUAGAACAUAAUAAAAAAUAAGAUACAAUUCUAUAGUUUUGACAUCACACGUAACUCAUAUCCCGCGCGUAGCGCGGACCGACCCUAGUAUAAUAGAAAUCAUUGUGUUAUAUAAGUACAAACAAGAAGUUGAACGUAAAAAUAAAAUAAAAAAGGUUCAAAAUCACCAUCUUUGAAAGGUUGAAUCUUAACUGAAUCCAUGAAUUUAUCAUAUGUAUUCUCUUAAGCAGUGCUUCAGUAACUCUUGCAAAGUGUCUUCACUACCAUAAAAGCCCCAGUGAAUACAAAAUCACAAGGGAAUCCACAGUCAUCGCUAAGAAAGGUAAGAGAGAGUUCCAACACUUGAAGUAAAGAGAUUUACUAAAGAUUCCUAUUUAAUAGGAGUUUUUGAAAGUAAUGUUCAAUAGGAAAAAUCAUGAAACAUCGAGGAAUACCAUAAGCAGUAACAAAAUAUGCAGAAAAAUGUCAAGAUGAGUAAGGAUGGAGCAAAAACUUAUGUAGCUUAUAAAUACAAUAGGGAAGAAACCGUGCCUGAAUUGGACGUUGGCCCCAGAAUAACUCAGUAUCACUAAGUUCUUCAAUGGGACUGAGAAACAUGUAGAUGAUUCAAGUCUGCUGAAUAAUAGUCACAUGUGUACUGCACUGAGAAUCUGAGAUCAAGCAAACAAUCUUGUGUUGGAAACAAUUAAAAAAAUGUCCCCUCAUAAUAAAACUUACAGCAGCAAGAGUAAUAAUAUUCACAAAAGAAAGAC
Long non-coding RNA from Brassica rapa (field mustard), 5423 nucleotides. RefSeq lists it as uncharacterized. Lineage: Eukaryota; Viridiplantae; Streptophyta; Magnoliopsida; Brassicales; Brassicaceae. The record is from RefSeq and is a predicted model, not a curated record.